GCGCGGGUGGCGAAAUCGGUAGACGCACCAGGUUUAGGUCCUGACGGUGGCAACACUGUGGGGGUUCGAGUCCCCCCCCGCGCACCA
RNAcentral lists this transfer RNA (87 nucleotides) under Hydrogenophaga sp. RNAcentral describes it as "tRNA-Leu". It matches the Rfam family "tRNA". From Rfam's summary of the family: Transfer RNA (tRNA) molecules are approximately 80 nucleotides in length. Their secondary structure includes four short double-helical elements and three loops (D, anti-codon, and T loops). Further hydrogen bonds mediate the characteristic L-shaped molecular structure. tRNAs have two regions of fundamental functional importance: the anti-codon, which is responsible for specific mRNA codon recognition, and the 3' end, to which the tRNAs corresponding amino acid is attached (by aminoacyl-tRNA synthetases). tRNAs cope with the degeneracy of the genetic code in two manners: having more than one tRNA (with a specific anti-codon) for a particular amino acid; and 'wobble' base-pairing, i.e. permitting non-standard base-pairing at the 3rd anti-codon position. Lineage: Bacteria; Pseudomonadati; Pseudomonadota; Betaproteobacteria; Burkholderiales; Comamonadaceae. The record is from RNAcentral.